AUUGAACGCUGGCGGCAGGCCUAACACAUGCAAGUCGAGCGGAGCGGCGGACGGGUGAGUAAUGCCUAGGAAUCUGCCUGGUAGUGGGGGAUAACGUCCGGAAACGUGCGCUAAUACCGCAUAGUAUCAGCUGUGCCUUGGUCGGAUUAGCUUGUUGGUGGGGGAAAGGACUACCAAGGCGACGAUCCGUAACUGGUCUGCGAGGGUGAUCAGUCACACUGGAACUGAGACACGGUCCAGACUCCUACGGGAGGCAGCAGUGGGGAAUAUUGGACAAUGGGCGAAAGCCUGAUCCAGCCAUGCCGCGUGUGUGAAGAAGGUCUUCGGAUUGUAAAGCACUUUAAGUUGGGAGGCGUUACCAACAGAAUAAGCACCGGCUAACUUCGUGCCAGCCGCCGCGGUAAUUC
Molecule: ribosomal RNA, 407 nt
Filed under: uncultured bacterium
Lineage: Bacteria
Description: partial 16S ribosomal RNA
Rfam family: Bacterial small subunit ribosomal RNA
Source: RNAcentral